This 63-nucleotide transfer RNA is filed under the name Comparmustilia semiravida. RNAcentral describes it as "tRNA-Ser". Lineage: Eukaryota; Metazoa; Arthropoda; Insecta; Lepidoptera; Endromidae. The record is from RNAcentral.
AGAAAUAUAACCCAAAUAAAGCUGCUAACUUUAUUUUUAGUGAAUAAAUCCAUUAAUAUUUCU